AUGGCCUAAGAACACGCUCAUUCUUCAGCCGUAGAGAGACUUUUGAAUUGUAAGGUACCAUUACGAGCUCAAUAUAUAAGAGUGUUAUUCUGUGAAAUAACUCAAAUUUCAAAUCAUUCACUUGCUUCAACUACUCAUGCUAUGGAUGUGGGAGCAUCACCUCCGUUCCUUUGGGCUUUUGAGGAGCAGGAGAAAUUGUUAGAAUUCUAUGAAAGAGUCCCGGGAGCCAGGAUGCAUGCCAAUUUCAUACGACCUGGUGGAGUGGCACAAGAUCUGCCUCUUGGCCUAUGUCGAGAUAUUGAUUCCUCCACACAACAAUUUGCUUCUCGUAUCGACGAAUUAGAAGAGAUGUCAACCGGCAACCGUAUCUGGAAACAACGAUUAGUGGAUAUUGGUACUGUCACUGCACAACAAGCAAAGGAUUGGGGAUUCAGUGGUGUAAUGUUAAGAGGUCAUGCGACAUGA
Molecule: ribosomal RNA, 465 nt
Filed under: Triticum aestivum (bread wheat)
Lineage: Eukaryota; Viridiplantae; Streptophyta; Magnoliopsida; Poales; Poaceae
Description: partial small subunit ribosomal RNA
Source: RNAcentral